CCAAAAUUAGUCUAGUCCGAUUU
Molecule: small nuclear RNA, 23 nt
Filed under: Arabidopsis thaliana (thale cress)
Lineage: Eukaryota; Viridiplantae; Streptophyta; Magnoliopsida; Brassicales; Brassicaceae
Description: snRNA_10765
Source: RNAcentral